UACAGAGGGUGCGAGCGUUAAUCGGAAUUACUGGGCGUAAAGCGUGCGUAGACGGCUAUCUAAGUCGGGUGUGAAAGCCCCGGGCUCAACCUGGGAAUUGCAUUCGAGACUGAAUAGCUAGGGUACGGUAGAGGGAAGUGGAAUUUCCGGUGUAGCAGUGAAAUGCGUAGAUAUCGGAAGGAACAUCAGUGGCGAAAGCGACUUCCUGGACCAGUACCGACGUUCAGGCACGAAAGCGUGGGGAGCAAACAGG
Molecule: ribosomal RNA, 253 nt
Filed under: uncultured bacterium
Lineage: Bacteria
Description: partial 16S ribosomal RNA
Rfam family: Bacterial small subunit ribosomal RNA
Source: RNAcentral